RNAcentral lists this ribosomal RNA (1300 nucleotides) under metagenome. Its description in RNAcentral is "bacterial LSU rRNA". It matches the Rfam family "Bacterial large subunit ribosomal RNA", at positions 1635 to 2925 of the family's 2925-position model. The record is from RNAcentral.
UACACGACCGUACCGCAAACCGACACUGGUGCGCGAGAUGAGUAUUCUCAGGCGCUUGAGAGAACUCGGGAGAAGGAACUCGGCAAAUUGACACCGUAACUUCGGAAGAAGGUGUGCCUUUAGUAGGUGAAGUCCCUCGCGGAUGGAGCCCAAUGAGGUUGCAAAGAAUCGGUGGCUGCGACUGUUUAAUAAAAACACAGCACUCUGCAAACACGAAAGUGGACGUAUAGGGUGUGACGCCUGCCCGGUGCUGGAAGAUUAAGUGAUGGGGUGCAAGCUCUUGAUCGAAGUCCCAGUAAACGGCGGCCGUAACAAUAACGGUCCUAAGGUAGCGAAAUUCCUUGUCGGGUAAGUUCCGACCUGCACGAAUGGCGUAACGAUGGCCACACUGUCUCCUCCCGAGACUCAGCGAAGUUGAAAUGUUUGUGAUGAUGCAAUCUCCCCGCGGAAAGACGGAAAGACCCCAUGAACCUUUACUGUAGCUUUGUAUUGGACUUUGAACGGAUCUGUGUAGGAUAGGUGGGAGGCUUUGAAGCCGGGUCGCUAGAUCUGGUGGAGCCAACGUUGAAAUACCACCCUGGUGCGUUUGAGGUUCUAACCUAGGCCCGUUAUCCGGGCCGGGGACAGUGCAUGGUAGGCAGUUUGACUGGGGCGGUCUCCUCCCAAAGCGUAACGGAGGAGUUCGAAGGUACGCUAGUUACGGUCGGACAUCGUGACGAUAGUGCAAUGGCAUAAGCGUGCUUAACUGCGAGACUGACAAGUCGAGCAGAUGCGAAAGCAGGACAUAGUGAUCCGGUGGUUCUGUAUGGAAGGGCCAUCGCUCAACGGAUAAAAGGUACUCUGGGGAUAACAGGCUGAUACCGCCCAAGAGUUCAUAUCGACGGCGGUGUUUGGCACCUCGAUGUCGGCUCAUCUCAUCCUGGGGCUGUAGCCGGUCCCAAGGGUAUGGCUGUUCGCCAUUUAAAGAGGUACGUGAGCUGGGUUUAAAACGUCGUGAGACAGUUUGGUCCCUAUCUUCCGUGGGCGCUGCAGAUUUGAGGAAGCCUGCUCCUAGUACGAGAGGACCGGAGUGGACGCACCUCUGGUGUACCUGUUGUCACGCCAGUGGCAUUGCAGGGUAGCUAAGUGCGGAAGAGAUAACCGCUGAAAGCAUCUAAGCGGGAAACUCGUUUCAAGAUGAGAUCUGCCGGGGCCUUGAGCCCCCUGAAGAGUCGUUCUAGACCAGGACGUUGAUAGGUCAGGUGUGGAAGCGCAGUAAUGCGUUAAGCUAACUGAUACUAAUUGCUCGUGCGGCUUGACU